RNAcentral lists this ribosomal RNA (209 nucleotides) under Karlodinium veneficum. Its description in RNAcentral is "partial Bacterial large subunit ribosomal RNA". It matches the Rfam family "Bacterial large subunit ribosomal RNA", at positions 2186 to 2403 of the family's 2925-position model. The record is from RNAcentral. Lineage: Eukaryota; Dinophyceae; Gymnodiniales; Kareniaceae.
UCGUUGUUGAAAUACCACCCUUGGAUUACUUGAUAUCUAAUCCGCCAAAAGCGGAGACAUUGUGUGGUGGGUAGUUUGACUGGGGUGGUCGCCUCCAAAAGAGUAACGGAGGCUUUCAAAGGUACCCUCAGUACGCUUGGUAACCGUACGUAGAGCGCAAUAGCAUAAGGGUGCUUGACUGUGAGGCCAACAAGCCGAUCAGGUACGAA